UAAGGCGGUUAAACCACAGUGUGGCCA
Molecule: non-coding RNA, 27 nt
Filed under: Rattus norvegicus (Norway rat)
Lineage: Eukaryota; Metazoa; Chordata; Mammalia; Rodentia; Muridae
Source: RNAcentral